AGAGUUUGAUCAUGGCUCAGAUUGAACGCUGGCGGCAGGCCUAACACAUGCAAGUCGAACGGUAACAGGAAGAAGCUUGCUUCUUUGCUGACGAGUGGCGGACGGGUGAGUAAUGUCUGGGAAACUGCCUGAUGGAGGGGGAUAACUACUGGAAACGGUAGCUAAUACCGCAUAACGUCGCAAGACCAAAGAGGGGGACCUUCGGGCCUCUUGCCAUCGGAUGUGCCCAGAUGGGAUUAGCUAGUAGGUGGGGUAACGGCUCACCUAGGCGACGAUCCCUAGCUGGUCUGAGAGGAUGACCAGCCACACUGGAACUGAGACACGGUCCAGACUCCUACGGGAGGCAGCAGUGGGGAAUAUUGCACAAUGGGCGCAAGCCUGAUGCAGCCAUGCCGCGUGUAUGAAGAAGGCCUUCGGGUUGUAAAGUACUUUCAGCGGGGAGGAAGGGAGUAAAGUUAAUACCUUUGCUCAUUGACGUUACCCGCAGAAGAAGCACCGGCUAACUCCGUGCCAGCAGCCGCGGUAAUACGGAGGGUGCAAGCGUUAAUCGGAAUUACUGGGCGUAAAGCGCACGCAGGCGGUUUGUUAAGUCAGAUGUGAAAUCGCCGGGCUCAACCUGGGAACUGCAUCUGAUACUGGCAAGCUUGAGUCUCGUAGAGGGGGGUAGAAUUCCAGGUGUAGCGGUGAAAUGCGUAGAGAUCUGGAGGAAUACCGGUGGCGAAGGCGGCCCCCUGGACGAAGACUGACGCUCAGGUGCGAAAGCGUGGGGAGCAAACAGGAUUAGAUACCCUGGUAGUCCACGCCGUAAACGAUGUCGACUUGGAGGUUGUGCCCUUGAGGCGUGGCUUCCGGAGCUAACGCGUUAAGUCGACCGCCUGGGGAGUACGGCCGCAAGGUUAAAACUCAAAUGAAUUGACGGGGGCCCGCACAAGCGGUGGAGCAUGUGGUUUAAUUCGAUGCAACGCGAAGAACCUUACCUGGUCUUGACAUCCACGGAAGUUUUCAGAGAUGAGAAUGUGCCUUCGGGAACCGUGAGACAGGUGCUGCAUGGCUGUCGUCAGCUCGUGUUGUGAAAUGUUGGGUUAAGUCCCGCAACGAGCGCAACCCUUAUCCUUUGUUGCCAGCGGUCCGGCCGGGAACUCAAAGGAGACUGCCAGUGAUAAACUGGAGGAAGGUGGGGAUGACGUCAAGUCAUCGUGGCCCUUACGACCAGGGCUACACACGUGCUACAAUGGCGCAUACAAAGAGAAGCGACCUCGCGAGAGCAAGCGGACCUCAUAAAGUGCGUCGUAGUCCGGAUUGGAGUCUGCAACUCGACUCCAUGAAGUCGGAAUCGCUAGUAAUCGUGGAUCAGAAUGCCACGGUGAAUACGUUCCCGGGCCUUGUACACACCGCCCGUCACACCAUGGGAGUGGGUUGCAAAAGAAGUAGGUGGCUUAACCUUCGGGAGGGCGCUUACCACUUUGUGAUUCAUGACUGGGGUGAAGUCGGAACAAGGUAACCGUAGGAGAACCUGCGGUUG
Molecule: ribosomal RNA, 1522 nt
Filed under: metagenome
Description: bacterial SSU rRNA
Rfam family: Bacterial small subunit ribosomal RNA
Source: RNAcentral